Vespula pensylvanica (western yellowjacket) is the source of this 522-nucleotide long non-coding RNA. RefSeq lists it as uncharacterized. The transcript is spliced from 2 exons. The record is from RefSeq and is a predicted model, not a curated record. NCBI's taxonomy places the organism in Eukaryota, Metazoa, Arthropoda, Insecta, Hymenoptera, Vespidae.
AGAGAGAGAGAGAAAGAAUGAGAGAGAGAGAGAUAGAGAGAAGAAAAUGGUAGAUCUCUAUGGAGGAUUGUGUGGGUCGGUAAAUCCAUUUGGCGAGCUCGUGUCCAAGCUGACAAGAACGGAAAGGAAUAGAUAGAUACUGUAGACCUAUCGUUCUAGUUCGAACGUUCGAAACUUCGCUCGUUAUCCUCGAUGUAUGUAUGACGCCUACAAUAUGGAAGGUAUAUGAGCACCUAGCUAGAUAUAUAUAUAUAUAUAUAUAUAUAUAUAUAUAUAUGCAUAGGAGGAGGAACACGACGAAUGCAGUUGCAUCGUGCAUCGUCGAUGUUCCCCUGUAACAGGAGUUUGUUCUCGGCGAACGUCAUCGAAUCGAAAUAAUGUCAAGGACGAACCAUGGUAACCAAUCGUUACCAACGAACAAAUUUGUAAACCGUUCUCGUUCAUGCAGAAAAUGCGCAUUCUCUUCUGGAUAAUAAAAGAAAUAAUAUAUACGUAUGUACAUACAUACAUACAUACAUACAU